RNAcentral lists this ribosomal RNA (253 nucleotides) under uncultured bacterium. Its description in RNAcentral is "partial 16S ribosomal RNA". It matches the Rfam family "Bacterial small subunit ribosomal RNA", at positions 524 to 776 of the family's 1533-position model. The record is from RNAcentral.
UACGUAGGGCGCAAGCGUUAUCCGGAAUUAUUGGGCGUAAAGAGCUCGUAGGCGGUUUGUCGCGUCUGCCGUGAAAUCCCGGGGCUCAACCCCGGGUCUGCAGUGGGUACGGGCAGACUAGAGUGAGGUAGGGGAGAGUGGAAUUCCUGGUGUAGCGGUGAAAUGCGCAGAUAUCAGGAGGAACACCGAUGGCGAAGGCAGGUCUCUGGGCAGUAACUGACGCUGAGGAGCGAAAGCAUGGGGAGCGAACAGG